Molecule: long non-coding RNA, 552 nt
Filed under: Androctonus crassicauda
Lineage: Eukaryota; Metazoa; Arthropoda; Arachnida; Scorpiones; Buthidae
Source: RNAcentral
UAAUUGAAAUUGAAAUAGACUUUUUAUUUUGGGGCCUCAUAAUGAUGUUGAGCCUAGUUCCUCCAAAAGUAUAAAUAUGGCCCUCCUGACCGAAUGGUCUGAUGUAUGGAAAUGUUUGAGUCUGGUUCUUGUAUUUUUGUGUUCAUUAAAUUUAUUAUAAUAAAGUACAGUUUAAUAAUAAAUAUUGGUAGUAGGCAAUCCAUAAAUUUUGGGCAUUUACACUUUCCAGCUGCUCCAAUUUAUGACUACAACAACCCAAACCCUGUCAUAAGUCAAAGAAAACUUGUAUACAUAAUUUUUAUAAAUUUAGGAAUAAUACAAAAUAUUUUGGAAAUGUUUGUUUCAACAGUUACAUAUUAGAUAAAUGAUAUGCAUAUAAAAUUGACUCUAAUUUAAAAUCUAAUAGAAAUAGAAUGAGUUAUUAUAAAGAAAAUCCUGGUUCAGAAAAUCAAAAUAACAUGCAACAAGCUUAUAAAUCAAACUAGGGGGAUUUAUUAUUAUAAAGUACUUUUGGGUAUUGACCCAUCAUCUGUGUGCUGCGGACUGAAGGAG